GAUGAACGCUGGCGGCGUGCCUAAUACAUGCAAGUCGAGCGAACGGACGAGAAGCUUGCUUCUCUGAUGUUAGCGGCGGACGGGUGAGUAACACGUGGAUAACCUACCUAUAAGACUGGGAUAACUUCGGGAAACCGGAGCUAAUACCGGAUGAUAUUUUGAACCGCAUGGUUCAAAAGUGAAAGACGGUCUUGCUGUCACUUAUAGAUGGAUCCGCGCUGCAUUAGCUAGUUGGUAAGGUAACGGCUUACCAAGGCAACGAUGCAUAGCCGACCUGAGAGGGUGAUCGGCCACACUGGAACUGAGACACGGUCCAGACUCCUACGGGAGGCAGCAGUAGGGAAUCUUCCGCAAUGGGCGCAAGCCUGACGGAGCAACGCCGCGUGAGUGAUGAAGGUCUUCGGAUCGUAAAACUCUGUUAUUAGGGAAGAACAUAUGUGUAAGUAACUGUGCACAUCUUGACGGUACCUAAUCAGAAAGCCCCGGCUAACUACGUG
RNAcentral lists this ribosomal RNA (497 nucleotides) under uncultured bacterium. RNAcentral describes it as "partial 16S ribosomal RNA". It matches the Rfam family "Bacterial small subunit ribosomal RNA", at positions 28 to 507 of the family's 1533-position model. The record is from RNAcentral.